Molecule: ribosomal RNA, 439 nt
Filed under: uncultured bacterium
Lineage: Bacteria
Description: partial 16S ribosomal RNA
Rfam family: Bacterial small subunit ribosomal RNA
Source: RNAcentral
CUACGGGCCGCUCCAGUGAGGAAUAUUGCACAAUGGGGGGAACCCUGAUGCAGCAACGCCGCGUGGAGGAUGACGCAUUUCGGUGUGUAAACUCCUUUUAUAUGUCAAGAAAAUGACGGUAGCAUAUGAAUAAGCACCGGCUAACUCCGUGCCAGCAGCCGCGGUAAUACGGAGGGUGCAAGCGUUACUCGGAAUUACUGGGCGUAAAGGACGCGUAGGCGGGUUGGAAAGUCAGGUGUGAAAUCCUACAGCUUAACUGUAGAACUGCACUUGAAACUUCUAAUCUAGAGUAUGGGAGGGGGAGAUGGAAUUAGUGGUGUAGGGGUAAAAUCCGUAGAUACCACUAGGAAUACCUAAAGCGAAGGCGAUCUCCUGGAGCAUUACUGACGCUAAGGCGUGAAAGCGUGGGGAGCAAACAGGAUUAGAUACCCGUGUAGUC